ACCUACCUAUCNGAGGGGAAUAACCCGGCGAAAGUCGGACUAAUACCGCAUAAAACAGGGGCACCNNNNGGNGAUAUUUGUUAAAGAAAUUCGCUGAUAGAUGGGCAUGCGUUCCAUUANGUAGUUGGUGAGGUAACGGCUCACCAAGCCGACGAUGGAUAGGGGAACUGAGAGGUUGGUCCCCCACNCUGGUACUGAGACACGGACCAGACUCCUACAGGAGGCAGCANUGAGGAAUAUUGGUCAAUGGGCGAGAGCCUGAACCAGCCAAGUCGCGUGAAGGAAGAAGGAUCUAUGGUUCGUAAACUUCUUUUGCANGGGAAUAAAGUGCAGGACGUGUCCUGUUUUGUAUGUACCCUGANAAUAANGAUCGGCUAACUCCGUGCCANCANCCGCGGUAAUACNGAGGAUCCGAGCGUUAUCCGGAUUUAUUGGGUUUAAAGGGUGCGUAGGUGGUUUGAUAAGUCAGCGGUGAAAGUUUGCAGCUUAACUGUAAAAAUGCCGUUGAAACUGUCGGACUUGAGUGUAAAUGAGUAGGCGGAAUGCGUGGUGUAGCGGUGAAAUGCAUAGAUAUCACGAAGAACUCCGAUUG
This 592-nucleotide ribosomal RNA is filed under the name uncultured Bacteroidota bacterium. Its description in RNAcentral is "uncultured Bacteroidetes bacterium partial 16S ribosomal RNA". It matches the Rfam family "Bacterial small subunit ribosomal RNA", at positions 124 to 715 of the family's 1533-position model. Lineage: Bacteria; Pseudomonadati; Bacteroidota. The record is from RNAcentral.